GUGGGGAAUCUUAGACAAUGGGCGCAAGCCUGAUCUAGCCAUGCCGCGUGAGCGAUGAAGGCCUUAGGGUUGUAAAGCUCUUUCAGCUGGGAAGAUAAUGACGGUACCAGCAGAAGAAGCCCCGGCUAACUCCGUGCCAGCAGCCGCGGUAAUACGGAGGGGGCUAGCGUUGUUCGGAAUUACUGGGCGUAAAGCGCACGUAGGCGGAUCAGAAAGUCAGAGGUGAAAUCCCAGGGCUCAACCUUGGAACUGCCUUUGAAACUCCUGAUCUUGAGGUCGAGAGAGGUGAGUGGAAUUCCGAGUGUAGAGGUGAAAUUCGUAGAUAUUCGGAGGAACACCAGUGGCGAAGGCGGCUCACUGGCUCGAUACUGACGCUGAGGUGCGAAAGCGUGGGGAGCAAACAGGAUUAGAUACCCUAGUAGUCC
Molecule: ribosomal RNA, 425 nt
Filed under: uncultured bacterium
Lineage: Bacteria
Description: partial 16S ribosomal RNA
Rfam family: Bacterial small subunit ribosomal RNA
Source: RNAcentral